Agrilus planipennis (emerald ash borer) is the source of this 192-nucleotide non-coding RNA. The record is from Rfam. Lineage: Eukaryota; Metazoa; Arthropoda; Insecta; Coleoptera; Buprestidae.
AUUUAAGAAUUAAUAAAUAUUCAGAAACAUAGUUUGUCGAUUCGGCUGAAGAGGACCUUAAUUGGUCCUAAAACGGCCUGAGGUAGAGGGGUUUUAGUCGGUAGGUCCGAGGACUUCUUCCUCGGGAAUCCGACACUACCCAGUCGUACGGACGGCUGGGUGUCUUUUGAAAAUUUCCCCUCUUCCACGAAA